ACGGGAGGCAGCAGUGAGGAAUAUUGGUCAAUGGGCGGAAGCCUGAACCAGCCAAGUCGCGUGAAGGAUGAAGGUAUUAUGUAUUGUAAACUUCUUUAGCCAGGGGGCAAUAAGGCGUACGCGUACGCCGAUGAGAGUACCUGGAGAAUAAGGAUCGGCUAACUCCGUGCCAGCAGCCGCGGUAAUACGGAGGAUCCGAGCGUUAUCCGGAUUUAUUGGGUUUAAAGGGUGCGCAGGCGGCACGUUAAGUCAGCGGUGAAAUGCAGGGGCUCAACCCCGGCACUGCCGUUGAAACUGGCGAGCUCGAGUACGGAUGAAGUCGGCGGAAUGUGAUGUGUAGCGGUGAAAUGCUUAGAUAUGUCACAGAACACCGAUUGCGAAGGCAGCUGACUAAUCCGCAACUGACGCUCAGGCACGAAAGCGUGGGGAUCGAACAGGAUUAGAUACCCUGGUA
This 454-nucleotide ribosomal RNA is filed under the name uncultured Porphyromonadaceae bacterium. RNAcentral's name for it is "partial 16S ribosomal RNA". It matches the Rfam family "Bacterial small subunit ribosomal RNA", at positions 341 to 792 of the family's 1533-position model. Lineage: Bacteria; Pseudomonadati; Bacteroidota; Bacteroidia; Bacteroidales; Porphyromonadaceae. The record is from RNAcentral.